This 253-nucleotide unclassified non-coding RNA is filed under the name uncultured Caryophanales bacterium. Its description in RNAcentral is "uncultured Bacillales bacterium contains 16S-23S intergenic spacer region". It matches the Rfam family "Bacterial small subunit ribosomal RNA", at positions 524 to 776 of the family's 1533-position model. The record is from RNAcentral. Lineage: Bacteria; Bacillati; Bacillota; Bacilli; Caryophanales.
UACGUAGGGGGUAAGCGUUGUCCGGAAUUAUUGGGCGUAAAGCGCGCGCAGGCGGUUCCUUAAGUCUGAUGUGAAAUCUCGGGGCUCAACCCCGAGCGGUCAUUGGAAACUGGGGAAUUUGAGUACAGAAGAGGAGAGUGGAAUUCCACGUGUAGCGGUGAGAUGCGUAGAUAUGUGGAGGAACACCUGUGGCGAAGGCGACUCUCUGGUCUGUAACUGACGCUGAGGCGCGAAAGCGUGGGGAGCGAACAGG